UGGGGAAUAUUGGACAAUGGGCGAAAGCCUGAUCCAGCCAUGCCGCGUGCGUGAAGAAGGCCUUUUGGUUGUAAAGCACUUUAAGUGGGGAGGAAAAGCUUAUGGAUAAUACCCAUAGGUUCUGACGUUACCCACAGAAUAAGCACCGGCUAACUCUGUGCCAGCAGCCGCGGUAAUACAGAGGGUGCGAGCGUUAAUCGGAAUUACUGGGCGUAAAGCGAGCGUAGGUGGUUUAUUAAGUCAGAUGUGAAAUCCCUGGGCUUAACCUAGGAACUGCAUCUGAUACUGAUAAACUAGAGUAGGUGAGAGGAAAGUAGAAUUCCAGGUGUAGCGGUGAAAUGCGUAGAUAUCUGGAGGAAUACCGAUGGCGAAGGCAGCUUUCUGGCAUCAUACUGACACUGAGGUUCGAAAGCGUGGGUAGCAAACAGGAUUAGAUACCCUGGUAGUCCACGCCGUAAACGAUGUCUACCAGUCGUUGGGUCUUUUAAAGACUUAGUGACGCAGUUAACGCAAUAAGUAGACCGCCUGGGGAGUACGGCCGCAAGGUU
Molecule: ribosomal RNA, 548 nt
Filed under: uncultured bacterium
Lineage: Bacteria
Description: bacterial SSU rRNA
Rfam family: Bacterial small subunit ribosomal RNA
Source: RNAcentral